GUUCUAUUAAUGACGAGCCCGCGACUUAGGCGAAUUGGACGGAUUACAAAGGAUGAUUUCUUCAACAAGCAUAAAUGGAAAAAGAACGAGCCGAUUGUAGAUGAAAGACGAGCUUGAGGCCGGAAAACGAUCUUGAUAUCCGAGGAAGAAUAGAGUUUAUUCGUUUUAUAGCUGAACCUUGUAAAAGGCUGCCUACGUACCCUCAGAAAGGGAUCAAGCCACACGUAGUUCAUAUUAGAAUAAGUGAGCUAGGCCGUCAUUGGAGGUAGGUCGGCAGGUAGUUGACGAGCCGGCAAAUGUGCGACGAGCUGGAUGAACCGUGGUAGAGAGA
This 331-nucleotide small RNA is filed under the name Arabidopsis thaliana (thale cress). RNAcentral describes it as "ATSL225300". Lineage: Eukaryota; Viridiplantae; Streptophyta; Magnoliopsida; Brassicales; Brassicaceae. The record is from RNAcentral.